This 67-nucleotide transfer RNA is filed under the name Marmota monax (woodchuck). Its description in RNAcentral is "tRNA.Ala". It matches the Rfam family "tRNA", at positions 6 to 65 of the family's 71-position model. From Rfam's summary of the family: Transfer RNA (tRNA) molecules are approximately 80 nucleotides in length. Their secondary structure includes four short double-helical elements and three loops (D, anti-codon, and T loops). The record is from RNAcentral. Lineage: Eukaryota; Metazoa; Chordata; Mammalia; Rodentia; Sciuridae.
GGCUGUGGCUCAGUGGUAGAGCGCUUGCCUAGCAUGCAUCAGGUACUGGGUUCGAUCCCUGGCACCA